CAGUCGCCGCGGGAAUACGAAGGGGGCUAGCGUUGUUCGGAUUUACUGGGCGUAAAGGGCGCGUAGGCGGGCGAUUAAGUCAGAGGUGAAAUCCCAAGGCUCAACCUUGGAACUGCCUUUGAUACUGGUUGUCUUGAGUCCGGGAGAGGUGAGUGGAACUGCGAGUGUAGAGGUGAAAUUCGUAGAUAUUCGCAAGAACACCAGUGGCGAAGGCGGCUCACUGGCCCGGAACUGACGCUGAGGCGCGAAAGCGUGGGGAGCAAACAGGAUUAGAUACCCGGGUAGUCCCUGUCUCUUAUAA
Molecule: ribosomal RNA, 301 nt
Filed under: uncultured bacterium
Lineage: Bacteria
Description: partial 16S ribosomal RNA
Rfam family: Bacterial small subunit ribosomal RNA
Source: RNAcentral